RNAcentral lists this ribosomal RNA (490 nucleotides) under uncultured bacterium. RNAcentral's name for it is "partial 16S ribosomal RNA". It matches the Rfam family "Bacterial small subunit ribosomal RNA", at positions 29 to 507 of the family's 1533-position model. The record is from RNAcentral.
AGUGAACGCUGGCGGUAGGCCUAACACAUGCAAGUCGAACGGCAGCACAGGAGAGCUUGCUCUCUGGGUGGCGAGUGGCGGACGGGUGAGGAAUACAUCGGAAUCUGCCCAGUCGUGGGGGAUAACGUAGGGAAACUUACGCUAAUACCGCAUACGACCUUCGGGUGAAAGAGGGGGAUCGCAAGACCUCUCGCGAUUGGAUGAGCCGAUGUCGGAUUAGCUAGUUGGCGGGGUAAUGGCCCACCUAGGCGACGAUCCGUAGCUGGUCUGAGAGGAUGAUCAGCCACACUGGAACUGAGACACGGUCCAGACUCCUACGGGAGGCAGCAGUGGGGAAUAUUGGACAAUGGGCGCAAGCCUGAUCCAGCCAUACCGCGUGGGUGAAGAAGGCCUUCGGGUUGUAAAGCCCUUUUGUUGGGAAAGAAAUCUUUCAGGCUAAUACCCUGGGAGGAUGACGGUACCCAAAGAAUAAGCACCGGCUAACUUCGUG